ACCUGACUGGCUCAUUUGGUAGAGCAUGUGACUCUUGAUCUUGGGGUUGUGAGUUUGAGCCCCAUGUUGGGUA
RNAcentral lists this transfer RNA (73 nucleotides) under Ailuropoda melanoleuca (giant panda). It matches the Rfam family "tRNA". From Rfam's summary of the family: Transfer RNA (tRNA) molecules are approximately 80 nucleotides in length. Their secondary structure includes four short double-helical elements and three loops (D, anti-codon, and T loops). Further hydrogen bonds mediate the characteristic L-shaped molecular structure. tRNAs have two regions of fundamental functional importance: the anti-codon, which is responsible for specific mRNA codon recognition, and the 3' end, to which the tRNAs corresponding amino acid is attached (by aminoacyl-tRNA synthetases). tRNAs cope with the degeneracy of the genetic code in two manners: having more than one tRNA (with a specific anti-codon) for a particular amino acid; and 'wobble' base-pairing, i.e. permitting non-standard base-pairing at the 3rd anti-codon position. The record is from Rfam by way of RNAcentral. Lineage: Eukaryota; Metazoa; Chordata; Mammalia; Carnivora; Ursidae.